UUAUUUGAAAGUUUUGAUCCUGGCCUCAGGGACGAACGCUGGCGGCGUGCCUAAAAAUACAUUGAAGUUGAGCGAUGAAGAUGUGGCUUGCACCAAUUUGAAGAGAGCGAACGGGUGAGUUAAACGCGUGGGCAAUCUGCCUUUGAGCGGGGGACAACAUUUGGAAACGAAUGCUAAUAACCGCAAAAAAAAGAUAACAAUUUAAACCACAAGUUUAAGUUGUGAAAGAUGCAGUUGCAAUCACUAAAAGAUGAAUCCGCGUUGUAUUAAGCUAGUUGGUGAGGUAACAGGCUCACCAAGGCGAAUGAUCAUAGCGACCUGAGAGGGUGAUCGGCCACAUUGGGACUGAGACACGGCCCAAACUCCUACGGGAGGCAGCAAGUAGGGAAUGCUUCGGAAUGGACGAAAGUCUGACCGAGCAACGCCGCGUGAGUGAAGAAGGAUUUCGGAUCGUAAAACUCUGUUGGUAGAGAAGAACGUUGGUGAGAGUGGAAAGCUCAUCAAGCUGACGGUAACUACCCAGAAGGGCGGUUUUUUUUUUUUUUUUUUUUUUUUUUUUUUUUUUUUUUUUUUUUUUUUUCUAACUACGUGCCAGCAGCCGCGGUAAUACGUAGGUCCCGAGCGUUGGUCCGGAUUUUUUGGGCGUAAAGCGAGGCAGGUGGUUUUUAUUAAGUCUGGUGUAAAAGGCAGUGGCUCAACCAUUGUAUGCAUUGGAAACUGGAGACUUGAGUGCAGGAGAGGAAGAAGUGAAUUCAUGUGUAGCGGUGAAAUGGCGUAGAUAUAUGGAGGAACACCGGUGGCGAAAGCGGCUUCUCUGGCCUGUAACUGACACUGGAGGCUCGAAGCGUGGGGAGCAAACAGGAUUUAGAUACCCUGGUACUCCACGCGUAAAAGAUAGUGUAGAUGUAGGGAGCUAUAAGUUCUCUGUAUCGCAGCUGAACGCAAUAAGCACUCCGCCUGGGGAGUACGAGCAAGGUUGAAACUCAAAGGAAUUGACGGGGGCCGCCACAAGCGGUGGAGCAUGUGGUUUAAUUCCGAAGCAACGCGAAGAACUUACAGGUCUUGACAUACUCGUGCUAUUCCUAGAGAUAGGAGAGUUCCUUCGGGACACGGGAAUAACUCAGGUGGUGGAUGGUUGUCGUCAGCGUCGUGUCGUGGAUGUUGGGGUUAAGUCCCGCAACGAGCGCAACCCCUAUUGUUAAGUUGCAUCAUUAAGUUGGGCCACUCUAACGAGACUGCAGGUGAUAAACCGGAGGAGGUGGGGAUGACGUCAAAUCAUCUGGCCCCUUAUGACCUGGGCUAAUCACACGUGCUACAAUGGAUUGGAACAACGAGGUCGCGAGACAGUGAUGUUUUUAGGCUAAUUCCUUAAAAACCAUUCUCAGUUCGGUUGUAGGCUGCAACUCGCCUAACAUGAAGUCGAAUCGCUAGUAAUCGCGGAUCAGCAACGCCGCGGUGAAUACGUUCCCGGCCUUGUAACACCGCCCGUCACAAACACGGGAGUUGGGAGUACCCGAAGGUAGGUUUGCCUAACGCAAGGAGGGCGUUCCUAAGGUAAGACCGAUGACUGGGGUGAGUCCGUAACAAAGUGCGUAUCGGAAGGUGCGGCUGGUCACCUCUCUUUCUAAGGAAUAU
RNAcentral lists this ribosomal RNA (1635 nucleotides) under Lactococcus cremoris. Its description in RNAcentral is "Lactococcus lactis subsp. cremoris 16S ribosomal RNA". It matches the Rfam family "Bacterial small subunit ribosomal RNA". Lineage: Bacteria; Bacillati; Bacillota; Bacilli; Lactobacillales; Streptococcaceae. The record is from RNAcentral.